RNAcentral lists this ribosomal RNA (206 nucleotides) under uncultured Bacillota bacterium. RNAcentral describes it as "uncultured Firmicutes bacterium partial 16S ribosomal RNA". It matches the Rfam family "Bacterial small subunit ribosomal RNA", at positions 568 to 774 of the family's 1533-position model. The record is from RNAcentral. Lineage: Bacteria; Bacillati; Bacillota.
CGCGCAGGCGGAUAUUUAAGUCCGAUGUGAAAUACCGGGGCUUAACCCUGGGGUGCAACGGAAACUGGGUAUCUUGAGUACAGGAGAGGAAAGUGGAAUUCCACGUGUAGCGGUGAAAUGCGUAGAUAUGUGGAGGAACACCAGUGGCGAAGGCGACUUUCUGGACUGUAACUGACGCUGAGGCGCGAAAGCGUGGGGAGCAAACA